RNAcentral lists this long non-coding RNA (623 nucleotides) under Elaeis guineensis (African oil palm). Its description in RNAcentral is "long non-coding RNA (EGUI_LNC032741)". Lineage: Eukaryota; Viridiplantae; Streptophyta; Magnoliopsida; Arecales; Arecaceae. The record is from RNAcentral.
AAGAUGAUAUUUUUUCCCACUUGAUUGAGCUUUUUUUUUUUUGGCUUUUCACUUCCUUUUCUUUUUCUCUUUGUUGGAGAUCUAUAGGGAAGAAGAGCCAAGAGAACCUAGGAGAUCGAAGGGGUUUCUUAGAUCUGCGAGGAAAAUCCGAGGGAUUUUUAGAUUUCGGUGGGGAGAAAAUUUUUGAUCAGAAGGAAGGGGUUUUGGGUACAUUCGAUUUGAUCCAACCUAAGUUUCAGCUCCAUUUUACCCACUUCGAUCCGAGACGGAUGCAGGGUGGGUAUGGAUUUGGGUUUUUUCCUAACGGAGUAGGUAUGAGGAUUGGUUGAUAUGAUCUAUAUUCAAUUUGUUGCCAUCUCUAAAUAGUAGCUCGAUCGAGUGUAAAUAUAUAAUAUGAUAAUGGACUUUGAGCUCUUUGAACCAGUAAUCUAAUUUGCAUCCCUUCUAAUAAAAAAGAUAAUUGAUAUGAUAAAUGCCAUAUGAGAUAGUACUUUUUAAAUGUCUUAAGUACUCUAAGUACUUUCUACUUCAAAGCACUAAGAGAACUAGUAUAUCUAUUAUGCUUUUCGACUACAUGAGCAAUAUUUGAUUUUCUAAAAUUCAUAGUAUGCAUCAAUGAACGA